Molecule: ribosomal RNA, 373 nt
Filed under: uncultured organism
Description: partial 16S ribosomal RNA
Rfam family: Bacterial small subunit ribosomal RNA
Source: RNAcentral
GUAGGUGGCAAGCGUUGUCCGGAAUUAUUGGGCGUAAAGCGCGCGCAGGCGGUUCUUUAAGUCUGAUGUGAAAGCCCACGGGCUCAACCGUGGAGGGUCAUUGGAAACUGGAGAACUUGAGUACAGAAGAGGAAAGCGGAAUUCCACGUGUAGCGGUGAAAUGCGUAGAGAUGUGGAGGAACGCCAGUGGCGAAGGCGGCUUUCUGGUCUGUAACUGACGCUGAGGCGCGAAAGCGUGGGGAGCAAACAGGAUUAGAUACCCUGGUAGUCCACGCCGUAAACGAUGAGUGCUAAGUGUUAGGGGGUUUCCGCCCCUUAGUGCUGCAGCUAACGCAUUAAGCACUCCGCCUGGGGAGUACGGCCGCAAAGGCUG